GAGGAACACAAAGAACACAAGCAAGGGUAGUCGAAGCUACCUCCACAGCAAGACACGGUAUUUUUCCCGAGGUUCGGCAAUCUCCACUUAGGAGUACCUACGUCCCCGUUGUUGAGGUGACCACGAAGGUCUGACCACUUAGGUCUCCUCCUCAAGCAACCACAAAGGUUAGCUUGAUGUUUCCACUAAGAAUCAAAGGGUAAUACAAACACUUCGGGGUGCCCUCACAAAUGAGUCAACACGGGCAACCACGAAGAACGCCUAGCCGGCUAGGGUUCCAAGAACCCAAGAGUAACAAACACAAACCAAACCGGCAAGACGAGGAACGGAGUGCUCAAGUCGCAGAUCGAUGCUCCCAACUCUCUAAUCUCACUUCUCUAGCUCG
This 385-nucleotide long non-coding RNA is filed under the name Sorghum bicolor (sorghum). RNAcentral's name for it is "long non-coding RNA (SBIC_LNC004335)". Lineage: Eukaryota; Viridiplantae; Streptophyta; Magnoliopsida; Poales; Poaceae. The record is from RNAcentral.